UACGUAGGGGGCUAGCGUUGUCCGGAAUCAUUGGGCGUAAAGAGCGUGUAGGCGGUCCGGUAAGUCCGCUGUGAAAGUCGGAGGCUCAACCCUCGAAUGCCGGUGGAUACUGUCGGGCUAGAGUGCGGAAGAGGCGAGUGGAAUUCCUGGUGUAGCGGUGAAAUGCGCAGAUAUCAGGAGGAACACCUAUUGCGAAGGCAGCUCGCUGGGACGUUACUGACGCUGAGACGCGAAAGCGUGGGGAGCAAACAGG
This 253-nucleotide ribosomal RNA is filed under the name uncultured bacterium. RNAcentral describes it as "partial 16S ribosomal RNA". It matches the Rfam family "Bacterial small subunit ribosomal RNA", at positions 524 to 776 of the family's 1533-position model. The record is from RNAcentral.